AGUGAGGAUCUUCCACCACCGGACUGAGCCGUAGGCCAGGAUCAUUGCGACGUAGAGCGGCACCACGGCGCUCAUCACCACAUAGAAGUCGUGCGCGCUGAUCAUCGUGAAAGGUUCUUCUCUUUUCUUCCUUCGGAUCUUCUUCUUCUUUGCGCUUACUUACCAGUGCUCUUUGAGCAGGAAAUUUCUUGACACUCGCUCGCUCUACGACUCGGUCGCUCGAUCUUCUACAGAAGCUGAGAAGAGGAAAGAAAAGGAACUCUCGUCCAAUCCGGCGACUUCUCUCCACUCCAAGUAAGCUUUCGAAUCAUUCCUUAGAUUUCUCGGGAAGAAGGAACUCGAGAAGAGCAAAACGACUGACUACCACUCCUGACUGCCUCGCUCUCGUGCUUGCGCUUGCUUGCUCCCUCCCAGGAGCUCGCGUCGCUUCCUCCAACGAGCAGCUCGUUAGCAGCGCAAUUGGAUUCCAUCCAAGUAGAAAAAGAAGAACAAGGACGUGAAAAAAAAAGUGGGAGAAAACGCUGCUAAAAACUAGCGAGACGAUGCGAGGAGCGAAUCAAAUGGAAGAAGACGGUUGCGGCGAAGAAGCUCAACGCCCCAAAAGCUACCACACGCUGUCCCCCAAUCCAUCAUCAAGCACACUACAGCGCUCACACUAAAUUUAUAUAUAGUUGCAAUUUUCUACGACCAAAACCAUAUAAAACUCUAUACGCAAUAAACUAGAGUCGCUCCUUUACUUCCACGGCUUUAGAAAAAAG
This 758-nucleotide long non-coding RNA is filed under the name Selaginella moellendorffii. Its description in RNAcentral is "long non-coding RNA (SMOE_LNC001628)". Lineage: Eukaryota; Viridiplantae; Streptophyta; Lycopodiopsida; Selaginellales; Selaginellaceae. The record is from RNAcentral.